AACUUGUGACAGCACGCCAUUUUUUCCACAUUUAUCAUUUUGAAAUUGAGGCGAAAACCCUCCCAUUUGGAAGUUAAUUUCCGACAAAACUGGUCAAAAGCCAAACAAGCAGCGAAGAGCGCGUAAAACAUGGGAAAUAAAAAUACGAAACAGAAGCACUUCAAGGCGCACCAGGUGACCUCUCCACACAGCAGCGGGCAUGCAGAGAAAUGUAGAUCAACCAACCCCCUUGCAGAAAGAUGCAAGAAGAAGUUCCCAUCACAAAGAAGACACAAAUUCUAAAACAAAACCAAAAAAAAAACGCUGCUAUGAAAACACUUAUCCUGUUUUCGGACAUCUCAAACUGGACACAUAAAUAAUCGAACUGAUGGGAAAUGCAAAUUAAGUGCAAACUGACCCAUGUACCAUUGCGCACGGACACAAUGCCAUCAAAAGCGGAGCAGAAUUCCAAAGCCGACGGCAGUUACAAGGACGAAAGGAAGGUGAGGAGUGUUAGGGCAAGUUCGGCAAAGGCGGCCUGUGCGACGAAAUACAAUUGGAUUAAAAUUUGAAUAAUUUCAUUGCAAUGCGGCCCGUUACUUGCCUAAAAUUUUCACUUUUAUCUCCUGCUUGACCAUUGUCCAGUGUUUCAUUAAGAAAACAACGAACGGCAAUGAAAGAAAUAGCAAAAGAAUAGUUUUGUGGCCUUCGGCUUGCAGCAUAUGCGCGAAAAUAUUGUGACUGGCAACCUGAAAAAAUCCAAUUUUCGCGAAUAUCAUACCGUACGGUCUGUAGAACCGUUUUUAUAAGAUAGGUCAUAGCAGCUGAUACGGUCUACGGUUUUGCGUCGGUGACUGUUUCAAGGGAAAGAGUCCGAUAUCCGAUAAGUUCUAUAACAGAUUGGAUCCUUUGAGAAAUAUUAACACAGAUCAUCAAUAAAACAUCAUUACCGAAAGUGUAAAAUCCUCCUUAAAUCAUCGGUUUCCGAAAAUAACAGUUCACAGAUUCUCACAAAUUUUAUCGCGCCUUUGCAUGCCAUGCAGAUUGAAUAUUUAAUCAUGAUUCCGGGUCUUGGUUAAUGUUAACGCUAAAUAAGAAAUAUCAGCACAAAACUUCAACCUUAAUUCGUUACCGUAGCGCCAUAAAUGAAGCAUUUCUAGAGAAUUUGUUUGACAACAAAAAUACACAACAUAUAUUCUGUCUUUCUUUCAGUCUAUCUAAAAACUGAGCGACACUCUUUUAGGUGUAAACGAAGAACCACAGAUCGAAGUUAACAAGAUCAAGAUAAUUAAUUACCCAUAUGUUACUUUUAUUUUUUAUUUUAUAACUACUUUACUUACUACUAACCAAUAGUUAAUGUUUUGACUAACUAAGUUAUAAGCUUUCCGACGGUUAUGAAUUACUUGAAAUUUAUACCAGAAUAUAUACACAUACAUAAUAUCUCUAUGAAACUCGAAGCGAGUACAAAAUAACGGAUCGUAAGAACCAGUAUCUAAAUUUUCAUAUAAUUGUAUGCUUCGAUCCGAUAAAUAUUAUUAUAUUAGCUUAUAUUUUUAGUUUUGUUAUAAUUUUGGAGCCAAACACGGCAUGGUUUCGAAUUUUUAUAACAUAAAAGGAGGAGUACAACUCUUUCCGUGAUAACCUGACAGUAUUAUAAAUAUAUUACAACUCUUAUUAUCAUAUUUUAGAAUUUUUUUUCGUUUCUGCUAGCUAAAUUUAAUCUAAAAUUAUAUAUAUAUAAAAUAAUAUAUAUAUAUAUUAUAAAGGCAGAUAGCACCAUGGAUAGUGGAAAAAAUUUCUCCA
Molecule: non-coding RNA, 1782 nt
Organism: Bactrocera oleae (olive fruit fly)
Lineage: Eukaryota; Metazoa; Arthropoda; Insecta; Diptera; Tephritidae
Source: RefSeq, a predicted model, not a curated record